UAUCACCAAGGAUUGUCUUUCUCGCAACAUUUUUCCUGUGAGAAGAAGAAGAAGGGAAUCAAACUUGAACAACCUCGUUCAGGUGCGAAUCAAAUUAUAAAAGGAAGUG
Molecule: non-coding RNA, 109 nt
Filed under: Vibrio scophthalmi LMG 19158
Lineage: Bacteria; Pseudomonadati; Pseudomonadota; Gammaproteobacteria; Vibrionales; Vibrionaceae
Description: gltS RNA
Rfam family: gltS RNA
Source: RNAcentral